AGAAUUUAGAGCUGCGUCACAGAGCUCAGCGAGAGAGUGAGAGAGCAAGCUCCGUCGAUAGGUCUACCAGCAACAGCCCUGCUGCAGCAAGAGGGGAGAGAGGCAGCAAGAGAGACAGAGAGGGCUCCAGGAAGAGAAGUACCACCAACACCACGGGCUGGGCUCCUGCCACCAUCCACUGUCACCUGGACGUCGUACUCGGGCUCGGUUGGCGUAGGAGGCUUCGCCCAUUGACGAUGCUGGAGACCCGGCGCGCUUAAUCCCGCGGGGAGGGAGAGUGGGCAGACACCAAAAGGGUUAACAGAAAGGAAAUUUCUGGAACCUUCUCUUCUGCGGCGCUCCACAGCGAGCGGAGGGCUGAGGACUGCGCAGAUGGUGCACGGGCACAGCUCUUCGGUCCGGUUCGCCUUCCUCACUGACCAGCAAUGAAGAUGGCAGCUCUGCCUGGAAGUGCUGAGGACACAACCAGCCUUGAGCUUGGUCCUUCUGGCCGAGGAAGUCUCCCGAUUAUGCAGUGGAGUGGUAACUUUGCUUUCUCAUAUGGCAGGGAACAUUAUUCCAUAGCCUUUCAUCAUCCCGAGGCUUAAACAACUUUAAGGAUGUGAUAGCAUAAGCGUUUAAUCUAUAUUACUCACUCGUUGACAUCUCAAGCGUCAGGGCUGGUUGUUUAGCAACAACCGCUGGGCUCGGAACCGGCUCAGACACAGCGCGCCCGCCGUCUCCAUCACUUCAGCUGUAGCCUGUCCCCUGCACGGUGCUCUGAGGGAAAGAGAGAAGGGCUGUACUUCCACCAUACGCCCCACCCCGACCGAAUUUGGGGGGUUUGGUGGCACAGGCCGCAGGCGCUGCGGUUUUCUCGCCGACUCCGUCCCUUUGCGCAGUUCCGCGGAGGGGAGGACGCCAUUUCCAACGGCACUGCGGUGGUAGGAACGGGGAGGGAAGAACCAAACAGGCACCACGUGCCACUCCCCACUUUUCUUCCCCUCUUUCCCCAUCUCCACCUUUCUUCCUUCCCCUCCUUUUCUGCCAGAUUCCGUAGGGAAUUUCAGACUCUUACUGCAGUCGUCACAACCCCUCCUGACUCACUGAGCCUUCGCUGGCUGUAGCUGGCUCCCUUGGAGCAUCCUUGCCUCCUGCAGCGCCAGAUCCGCAGAGCAGGGGAACAACAGGAAUAGCAGCGACGACGGUGGUCCCUGCAGCGAGACAGACAGGCAUAAAUACACACACACAUGCAGGAACAGUCCCAGGCAGCUGUGGAGGGAAUUCUGUACAGCCGGGAGCUGGACUAAGCCAUGACUGCUUGGUUGUGUGGAAGACGGGUGGGUUGAGUCUCUUUUUCCUGAGUGUUGGCUGCAUGGACAACUCUUUGUGGUUUUCCCGUCACAGUUGUGGGGUGGAGGACCCUGUAAUUUGUAAAGCUAGUGCUGCUUCGUGACAUUUCUCAGGGCUUUAGAGGAGGUGCCACUGGCAGCUGGUUCAGUGUUCAGUGCAGGGGUGUACCUGAUUAAAUUCCCUUUGCCACCAUUUUUUUUGGCCACAGUUAGUUUAACUGCGGCUGAACGCAGGGAGGGUAAGGAGACACAGAUAAAAGAGGAGUUAUUUCAAUGUUAAACUUCAGCUGUAAAUCUCAUUACUCAGGAAUUGAGGUUACUGUCAGCAGGUAAAUCUGUGGGACUGGCAAGAAACAAGGCUAAGAAGGGGACAUGGCAUAUUUCUGUAGGACAGCAGUGACUGCGUGCACAGGGGCGGCACUGUCGCCGUGAGCUGUACGUGGCUAACUGUUCCAUUAUCCUUUUCUGGGUAUUGCCACAAAACAGCUCGGGAAAGCUGUGAUUCCUUCCUCCCUCCGACACUCGUGUGUGUGUGCCACCGUGUUAAGCUGAUUCAUUUUUGCGUGUGUCUGGGUUUCCUUGCUCUGGGCAGCGGGGUUUGCUGCGUGCCUCGGCCCCGGUGCAGCACUGACGCAGCGUUCGUUAACGCGCCGGCCCUCGCUGGCAAAACACACGCAGUUUUCUCGGCCGUUCUGACCGCUCAAGGGCCGCGAAAACUCGGGCGAGGAAGUUCGGGAUUGCAAAUGCUCACGAUGUGAACUUACUUAAAUGCAUUACCAUCCUAUUCUUUGCUAGUGGAGGAAGGCUCUGUGAGUGACGAGACAGCCACGAUCUCCCCCUUGCACUUGUUUUGCCGAUGGUCAUGUUACAUCUGUGACGCAGACGAAUUUUGCUGUUCGUUCCUGUCUGUGCUUUAGGGAGCGAGGCUGAUGAGGGCACGAGCUCGAACAUGGUUAGAAACAUCAAUUUAAUAUUGAUGCUACAAGUUCAAACCAUACCUGAAGGGUCAGGGGCAUUGGAUCCACCUAUUUCACGGCCCCAAAUGGCGAAGGGAUUCGGAUGAACACAACAGCACCCCUGGCCAUUUUGUCGCUCGCAGAGUAGACUCGGAGCCUGCAGCUCUGCUGCUGCUGCUGCUGCUGUUCAUUUCCAUGUUAUACAAAUACAGCGUUGGGCUCGGUGUCAGGAGCUUUCCUGAUGCCGUGAGAAGCUUAAAGUCUACAAGCAAAUGUUUUUCUUAUUUGGGAAGAUUAAUUAAAAUGACCAGAUGCCAAGUAUUCUACCCUCACUCCUCUCACAAAUCACUCCCAGAAAAUUCAGUGGUGCCGUGUAUGUUUUUUAAAACUUAAUCACGGUGUUUUCUUAUAGUUUAGUAUGGGUGUGACUGGGGGAGAGGGUAAGAUUUAAUUUGGGAAACAGCUGUAACGCUGAUGUUAAUGAACAAGUACAUAGGCAAGAGAUAGUUGUCCACAUCCUCUAUAUAUCUGCGUAUGGAUACAGACAGUCCCAAGCCCAGGUUGUGAAGAUGCCCUCAUUACAAAAUGAGAAGGGACUCCUCUGGCUCAUUCUCAGCCACCCAAACGUUUCAGUGCAAAGGCAGCAGUAGAAAAGGCCAGGCUGGACUCUCAAGCUCACAAAAUGGUUCCACCAGCACUCAGAGAUGCCAGUGCCGUUUAUACUGGCACGGCUCCGAGAGCGGCACCGCGAGCUGCCUGCUGCAAGGUCAUUCCCCUGACUCAUGGUCAGCAACCAGUUGGUUCAGGAACUCCCAAUCCACUUUUCUUGCAUCUGUGGCAGUGCUCGAAUCCCGAGCUUGAUAAUUAGCAUUACUGCAGUAGUGGACUACUGAGCCCAAAACUGUAGCUCCAAAAAAAUCCCGUGUCUCUGAAGCAUUUUAAAAUCCCUAUCUGUAAUUUGCUUCUUGUGCUAACUGCAAAAAACUUUGCACUAGUUCCCUCAUCCCCUUUUCCUCCAAAACUUCAAAAAGUUUGCACUACUUCUCUCAUCCCCUUUUCCCCCAAGACUUCCUCUGGACUGCUGGGAAUCAGCAGUGGCAUGUUAAGUUUAAGGAGAUAGACUCUGUUCCAGAA
Long non-coding RNA from Empidonax traillii (willow flycatcher), 3421 nucleotides. RefSeq lists it as uncharacterized. The transcript has 2 exons. The record is from RefSeq and is a predicted model, not a curated record. NCBI's taxonomy places the organism in Eukaryota, Metazoa, Chordata, Aves, Passeriformes, Tyrannidae.